GACGAACGCUGGCGGCGUGCUUAACACAUGCAAGUCGAACGGAAAGGCCCUGCUUUUGUGGGGUGCUCGAUUGGCGAACGGGUGAGUAACACGUGAGUAACCUGCCCUUGACUUUGGGAUAACUUCAGGAAACUGGGGCUAAUACCGGAUAGGAGCUCCUGCUGCAUGGUGGGGGUUGGAAAGUGUCGGCGGUUGGGGAUGGACUCGCGGCUUAUCAGCUUGUUGGUGGGGUAGUGGCUUACCAAGGCUUUGACGGGUAGCCGGCCUGAGAGGGUGACCGGCCACAUUGGGACUGAGAUACGGACCAGACUCCUACGGGAGGCAGCAGUGGGGAAUAUUGCACAAUGGGCGGAAGCCUGAUGCAGCAACGCCGCGUGCGGGAUGACGGCCUUCGGGUUGUAAACCGCUUUCGCCUGUGACGAAGCGUGAGUGACGGUAAUGGGUAAAGAAGCACCGGCUAACUACGUG
Molecule: ribosomal RNA, 468 nt
Filed under: uncultured bacterium
Lineage: Bacteria
Description: partial 16S ribosomal RNA
Rfam family: Bacterial small subunit ribosomal RNA
Source: RNAcentral